UCCCUUCAUGACUCAGUUUUAGAGCUGGACUAGCAAGCUUGGGUCGCAUGAGAGCUUUAUUCACUUUUCUUAACCUUCCAUGUUUGAGAGUGCUAGUUCACGAACAGGAGAAACUACCCGAAUUAUCUGUUGGUUUCUUGGACUGGGAUGAGAUGAAGGACUACAGAACAGCCAUUUUUAUAAUCAUCCACACUAUCCAAGUCAUGGAUCUCACGUUGACUGACUUAUCUUGACUACUGGGGGAAGCAAUGAAAGACACCAAUGGAAAUGGAGCUCUCUAGAGAAGUGAAAGUGGAUACUGAGCUGAAGGAGCAGAAUGGCUGCCAUAGUAAUUGGUGAGACAUGCUGGUACUGGAAUAAAGAACGAUGCUGACUUUGAUCCUGAUGAGCGUUGGACCAUGAAAGGCAGUCUGUGUUCUGGUUUAGAUCCUGGCGACCCAGAAAGAUUUCUACGAGGGACAGAAGAUCUGUUUGACAAUGCUUCCAGACACUAGGCUCCUGACACCAUGAGGCCCUCAACUCCAUAAUUCUGUGGGCAUCAGUCACAUAGGGCCAUGCGCCAAGCCCCUCGUAUUCUGUCUGGACCCCCACAGUCACCUGGCAGCAGCCAGGUAUGCCCCUCCCCACCUGCCAACAGCCAGGUAGACCCAAGCUACUAUAAAAGGGAGUGUUUGCCCUCUUCUCUCUGUCUUACUCUCUCUUACUCGCUUGCUCUCUUUCUCUGUCUCUUGUCCCCUUGCUUCAACUCUCUCCCCAUUCUGUUUCCCCUCUCUCCAUGUGGCCAUGGCUGGCUUCUACUUCUCUACCUUCUCUCCCUGAUUCUAUUCUUCUACAAUAAAGUCCUAAAACCAUG
Molecule: long non-coding RNA, 853 nt
Organism: Apodemus sylvaticus (European woodmouse)
Lineage: Eukaryota; Metazoa; Chordata; Mammalia; Rodentia; Muridae
Exons: 3
Source: RefSeq, a predicted model, not a curated record